This 253-nucleotide ribosomal RNA is filed under the name uncultured bacterium. RNAcentral's name for it is "partial 16S ribosomal RNA". It matches the Rfam family "Bacterial small subunit ribosomal RNA", at positions 524 to 776 of the family's 1533-position model. The record is from RNAcentral.
UACAGAGGUCCCAAGCGUUGUUCGGAUUCAUUGGGCGUAAAGGGUGCGUAGGUGGCGCGCUAAGUCAGGUGUGAAAUUUCGGAGCUUAACUCCGAAACUGCAUUUGAUACUGGCGUGCUUGAGGACUGGAGAGGAGACUGGAAUUUACGGUGUAGCAGUGAAAUGCGCAGAUAUCAGGAGGAACACCGGUGGCGAAGGCGGGUCUCUGGGCCGAAACUGACGCUGAGGAGCGAAAGCGUGGGGAGCAAACAGG